This 253-nucleotide ribosomal RNA is filed under the name uncultured bacterium. RNAcentral describes it as "partial 16S ribosomal RNA". It matches the Rfam family "Bacterial small subunit ribosomal RNA", at positions 524 to 776 of the family's 1533-position model. The record is from RNAcentral.
UACGUAGGUGGCAAGCGUUGUCCGGAUUUACUGGGCGUAAAGAGCGCGCAGGCGGUCGUUCAAGUCGCGUGUGAAAGCCCCCGGCUCAACUGGGGAGGGUCACGCGAUACUGAUCGACUCGAAGGCAGGAGAGGGUAGUGGAAUUCCCGGUGUAGUGGUGAAAUGCGUAGAUAUCGGGGGGAACACCAGUGGCGAAGGCGAGUCCCUGGACAACACCUGACACUGAGGCGCGAAAGCUAGGGGAGCAAACGGG